Molecule: ribosomal RNA, 414 nt
Filed under: uncultured bacterium
Lineage: Bacteria
Description: bacterial SSU rRNA
Rfam family: Bacterial small subunit ribosomal RNA
Source: RNAcentral
GUGUCAGCAGCCGCGGUAAUACGUAGGGUGCAAGCGUUGUCCGGAAUUAUUGGGCGUAAAGAGCUCGUAGGCGGUCUGUCGCGUCUGCUGUGAAAACCCGAGGCUCAACCUCGGGCCUGCAGUGGGUACGGGCAGACUAGAGUGCGGUAGGGGAGAUUGGAAUUCCUGGUGUAGCGGUGGAAUGCGCAGAUAUCAGGAGGAACACCGAUGGCGAAGGCAGAUCUCUGGGCCGUAACUGACGCUGAGGAGCGAAAGCAUGGGGAGCGAACAGGAUUAGAUACCCUGGUAGUCCAUGCCGUAAACGUUGGGAACUAGAUGUGGGGACCAUUCCACGGUCUCCGUGUCGCAGCUAACGCAUUAAGUUCCCCGCCUGGGGAGUACGGCCGCAAGGCUAAAACUCAAAUAAAUUGGCGG